CCCUCUCUCUUUCGCAGAUCAACACACACAAGACUCGCUUAUACAAAACCUCUCUCUAUCUCUCUCUCUCUCUUUCAGAAUUUAGAACUCGUUCACCUGGAUCUCUAGCUCUCGCGAUCUGCAAAAAUGCCUCUCAGACUCGAAAUCAAGAGGAAACUUGCUCAAAGAUCGGAGAGAGUAAAGUCAGUUGAUCUACAUCCAACAGAACCAUGGAUUCUAGUGAGUUUGUAUUCAGGGACUGUGUGUAUCUGGAACUACCAGUCACAGACCAUGGCAAAGUCUUUUGAGGUCACUGAGUUGCCAGUUAGGUCAGCCAAGUUCAUAGCACGAAAGCAGUGGGUUGUUGCUGGAGCUGAUGACAUGUAUAUUCGUGUGUACAACUACAACACAAUGGAUAAGAUUAAAGUUUUCGAGGCUCAUACAGAUUACAUUAGAUGUGUGGCCGUCCAUCCUACCCUUCCAUAUGUGUUGUCAUCAUCUGAUGACAUGCUUAUAAAACUUUGGGAUUGGGAGAAGGGAUGGGCUUGUACUCAGAUAUUUGAGGGACAUUCCCAUUAUGUGAUGCAAGUUACUUUUAAUCCUAAAGACACCAACACUUUUGCAAGUGCAUCCCUUGAUCGCACCAUAAAGAUUUGGAAUCUUGGCUCUCCCGACCCAAAUUUUACUCUGGAUGCCCACCAGAAAGGAGUAAAUUGUGUUGAUUACUUCACAGGUGGAGAUAAACCUUAUCUAAUCACUGGCUCUGAUGAUCACACUGCGAAGGUAUGGGACUAUCAAACGAAAAGCUGUGUCCAGACCUUGGAAGGCCACACACACAAUGUCUCUGCUGUAUGUUUUCAUCCUGAACUUCCAAUAAUAAUAACAGGUUCUGAAGAUGGGACUGUUCGUAUAUGGCAUUCAACAACUUACAGGCUUGAGAACACCUUGAAUUAUGGCUUGGAACGAGUUGGGGCUGUUGGAUACAUGAAAGGUUCACGCCGUGUUGUGAUUGGGUAUGAUGAAGGAACCAUUAUGGUCAAGAUCGGUCGAGAAGAACCUGUGGCUAGCAUGGAUAAUAGUGGAAAGAUUAUAUGGGCGAAGCACAAUGAAAUUCAGACUGUGAAUAUUAAGAGUGUGGGGGCAGAUUUUGAGGUGACUGAUGGUGAAAGAUUGCCUUUGGCUGUUAAGGAGUUGGGAACAUGUGAUCUUUACCCCCAAAGCUUAAAACACAAUCCCAAUGGGAGGUUUGUUGUUGUUUGUGGAGAUGGUGAGUACAUCAUAUAUACAGCUUUAGCAUGGAGAAACAGAUCAUUUGGUUCUGCACUUGAAUUUGUUUGGUCUUCGGAUGGUGAAUAUGCUGUUAGAGAAAGUACAUCAAAGAUUAAGCUUUUCAGUAAAAAUUUCCAGGAAAAGAAGAGUGUCCGGCCAACCUUUUCAGCUGAGCGCAUUUAUGGUGGAACCCUGUUGGCCAUGUGCUCAAAUGAUUUUAUUUGUUUCUAUGACUGGGCUGAAUGCAGGUUGAUUAGGAGAAUUGAUGUUACUGUGAAAAAUCUCUAUUGGGCUGAUAGCGGAGAUUUAGUGGCCAUUGCUAGUGAUGCAUCAUUCUACAUCCUCAAAUACAAUCGUGAGAUAGUUUCAUCUUAUUUAGAUAAUGGAAAACCUGUGGAUGAACAAGGUGUUGAGGAUGCAUUUGAGCUUCUUCAUGAAACCAAUGAACGUGUCAGAACUGGCUUAUGGGUUGGGGAUUGUUUCAUAUACAAUAACUCCUCCUGGAGGCUCAAUUACUGUGUUGGAGGCGAGGUGACCACCAUGUAUCAUUUGGACCACCCCAUGUACUUGCUUGGGUACCUUGCUAGUCAAAGUCGGGUGUAUUUGAUAGACAAAGAAUUCAAUGUCACGGGGUACACUUUACUUCUUAGCUUAAUUGAGUACAAGACUCUGGUGAUGCGGGGAGAUCUGGAGAGGGCCAGUGAACUUUUACCUUCAAUUCCUAAAGAACAUCAUAAUAGUGUGGCACAUUUCUUGGAAUCACGAGGUAUGAUAGAGGAUGCUCUGGAAGUAGCUACUGACCCUGAUUAUAGAUUUGAGCUAGCUAUACAGCUUGGUAGAUUAGAGGUUGCAAAGGAAAUUGCCAGUGAAGUGCAGAGUGAGUCAAAAUGGAAACAGUUGGGAGAGUUAGCUAUGUCCAAUGGAAAGUUGGAAAUGGCUGAGGAAUGCAUGAGGCAUGCAACAGACUUGAGUGGUUUGCUGCUACUAUAUUCUUCCUUAGGAGAUGCUGAAGGGAUAUCAAAGCUUGGAUCCCUGGCAAUAGAACAGGGGAAGAUUAAUGUUGCAUUCCUUUGUUUAUUCAUGUUGGGCAAAGUUGAAGACUGCCUCCAGCUGUUGGUGGAACGCAAUCGGAUACCUGAGGCUGCAUUAAUGGCACGAUCUUAUCUUCCCAGCAAGGUUUCAGAGAUUGUUGCACUUUGGAGGAAAGACCUGAACAAGGUUAAUCCAAAAGCUGCUGAAUCUCUGGCUGAUCCUGAAGAAUACCCAAAUAUGUUUGAUGAUUGGCAAGUUGCUUUAUCUGUUGAAUCUACAGCUGCAGAAAGAAGGGGCGUGUAUCCUCCUGCAGAGGACUACCAAACACAUGCUGAUAAACCUCACAUCACCCUUGUGGAGUCUUUCAGAAACAUGCAAAUAGAAGAGGAGGAACCUCUUGAAAAUGGAGACUUUGAUCAUGAGGCUGAAGAAGAGAAUGUAGAUGAACAGAAUGGCGAGGAAGGGAGCCAAGAGGAAGCAGUUGUGGUGGAUGCAGAGUCUACAGAUGGUGCUGUACUCGUUAAUGGAAACGAGCCUGAGGAAGAGUGGGGUACGAAUAAUGAAGGAACCCCGUCAGCCUAAAAGCAAAUUGGUUGGGGCAGUGUGAAAAUCCAAAUUUUGUCUCUGGUGAUUAAUUGAUUCUGUGCUUACUCCACGCCACUAGGUCCUGCUUUCAAGACAAUUGAUCCAGCUGUAUUAGUCCCCGAUAAGGUGAGAAAAGCAUGCUUAGAUAUAAUGGAUAGGUUUUGAAUAUAGAGAUGAACAAGUUUGAACAGAGUACUGGUAAAUGCAACCACCGUGUGGUUUGGUGCAAGUAUUGAAGAAACUCCACUAGAAGUGGGAUCUAGCAGAAAGUUCUCACCACAAAUACAUAAAUGAAAUUUUGUGUACCAUUAGGUUGUGACCUUUAACGAAUUAUGUUUUGGAUAGGGCACUUCAACUUCAUUCAAGUUGAUUAUUUUUUUUUUUGUAUGAUUUUCCAUAUGCAAAUGAAUUUGGGCAAAUGCAUGGCUAGGAUUGAUGAUGAUUUUUUUACAGAGAAUUUCAAACA
This is an RNA transcript of Populus euphratica (Euphrates poplar), 3331 nucleotides long. It is a transcript of the gene named coatomer subunit beta'-2, with no coding region annotated. Lineage: Eukaryota; Viridiplantae; Streptophyta; Magnoliopsida; Malpighiales; Salicaceae. The transcript is spliced from 25 exons. The record is from RefSeq and is a predicted model, not a curated record.